This 2133-nucleotide long non-coding RNA is filed under the name Sus scrofa (pig). RNAcentral's name for it is "lncRNA (ENSSSCG00060013165.1)". Lineage: Eukaryota; Metazoa; Chordata; Mammalia; Artiodactyla; Suidae. The record is from RNAcentral.
AUUUUCCAGAGUCUUUAUGCUCGUGGUCUGGAGGUGAUAAGAGGAAGCAAAUAACAUAUUUGCCAACAGCCUCCCCCUGCCCCACAGAAUUCCACCAAAAUUCCCGUCCUUAAUUCAGAGUCCCUCUGGAUUCACAUCUGCCCUGCUGUGCCUUCCUCUGUACAGACAGCCAUCCUGCAAGGAUGCCUAAAUGGAUUUCCUGAAAUUGACAUUACCACGCCAAUAGAUUCCAGAUAGUUGCUUUGGCCCAAGAUCUCUUAGCUUUUUGAAUAGUUGACCCCACUCACCCCCACCACAGCACCCCAGACGCUUAGACCUCACCUCCUCAGACUGUGUUCAUGGAUAGAGGGGUUUAUUUUGGUUUCUAAACUAAGGCUAUUUCAUAGUGUUCACUAUAAGGAAUUGGAUUUUUUUUUCCUUGCUUUUUGCUUUUUAGGCUGCAUGUGCGGCAUAUGAAAGUUCCCAGGCUAGGGGUCAAAUCAGAGCUGCAGCUGCUGGCCUACACCACAGCCACAGCAAUGCUGGAUCCCCAACCCACUGGCCGAGGCCAGGGAUGAAACCUGCAUCCUCAUGGAUACUAGUCGGGCUCCUUACCGCCGAGCCAUGACAGGAACUCCAGAAACUAGAUCUUAACAUUCUUCCUCCGAGUGCAUUGGUCCUGGUCCCUUCAGAAAUAAUAUCUAAGUCCCAAGUGUGAAGUGAAGUGUUCCUUUUUGUAGGACUCCUAUCUCUUAGGUAUGUUCCAAAUGUCUUUCCUUCUAAACUCGUGUUUCUCAAAUGCUACUGUGCAGUAGAUCCCUGGGGGUCUAGUUAACAUGCAGCUGCUGGUGGGGCCUGAGGAUCUGCAUUUCCAGCCAACUCCUGGCUGCUGCUGCUGCUGCCACUGCCAUUCCCCAAGCCACACUAAAGAACGAGGCUGUAGGCUAUUGCCAGUGUCCUGCUCUUUCCAUGGUGCCCAGAACCACUCACUUCACCGCCUUUCCCUUCAAAAGCCCUCCUCUCCACUCUUCCGUUCCGGCCAGAGCAUUGCCAUGAGGCACUGAAGCCCAGAAAUGCCAGAUCGCCUGGUUGCAAAUGCUGACCUGUCACUUCCAUGAGAUGUCAAGCAUCCCUGGCGCUCCUUCCUUGUGCCACCAUCAGGCAAGAUGCAGGGGGUGGGAUCCGAGGACCCCUCCUCAGGGAGCUGCUGCCGAGUUGCUGCUCGCCACUUGCAAGGUCAAGGGCACAGAGAGAGAACCAGACAAGAAAGAAGAAAGGGCUCAGACNNNNNNNNNNNNNNNNNNNNNNNNNNNNNNNNNNNNNNNNNNNNNNNNNNNNNNNNNNNNNNNNNNNNNNNNNNNNNNNNNNNNNNNNNNNNNNNNNNNNNAAAGAAAGAAAGAAAGAAAACAGAAUAGCUGGGGGAGGAGAGCAUGGUGUGUGCCUAAGAAGAGAGGCCACAACUGGAUCACCCCAAGUGGGCUGAGCCACUUACCAGGUGCCAACACCUGCUGGCCAGCCUCAUUCCUGUGUCUUGGGAGGAAGAGAAAGAGGUCAAGAGUUUACUUAAUUCGCCACAAACCCACUUUUUCUGAACCAACCUAACAACUUUUUCUCUUCGGGAGGCAGAACAUAGACCUCCCUCAAAAGAGCCAAAGCCUCAAGAAAUCUUUUCAGGUCUCACCUCCUAUUAUUUUUCUUCAAGAAGUUACUUGUUUUGAUUAGAUGCCUCCAGCUCUUGUUCUGAGGCCUCUUUACCUGGCAUCCACCUCUCUGCCUGUCCGUUCUCUCUGAUGCUCUGAUAGGACGCUGCUCAGUUUGAUCUUUCCGUAGCCUCUGAAGAUCCUUUUUCCAAAAUCACUGUGACUGCUGUGCAGGCAGUGGGCCCAGAACCCUGGAACCCAGGCUUGGAAAAGUGCCUGAGACAUUCAUCUGGGAAGGAAGUUCAGACAUGUUGGCUGUGUCAAAGUAAAGCUGUAUGUCUGAGUCAGCUAUUGCUGUGUAACAAGCAGUCCCUAAAUCUCAGUUGUAAACAACAAUAAGCACUGAUUUCUCACCUAUCUGUUCAUAUUGGGGCCCAGAUUGAGAGAGUAACAGCUACAAAAGGGAAGGUCUUUUUGUGGUAAUGGUAGAUAUAUAAUAGGACAAAAAAAAAAA